Pan troglodytes (chimpanzee) is the source of this 792-nucleotide long non-coding RNA. RefSeq lists it as uncharacterized. The record is from RefSeq and is a predicted model, not a curated record. The transcript has 2 exons. NCBI's taxonomy places the organism in Eukaryota, Metazoa, Chordata, Mammalia, Primates, Hominidae.
AGAAUUCUGUGAACUGUAGAAUUCUGGAAAGAAUAAGCGUACCUCCAGGCUGCUUACAUCAAUAGCUUACACGUGCUUCCUGAUGCCUGCCUUAACAACAAAAAAUUCGUGUCCAUAGCAAAUAUUUAUUGCAUGCCCACUCUGGGCUAGGCACUGUUUUAGAGGACACCGCAGCUAUCAAGGCAGAUGUGGUCCCUGUUCCCAUGAGGCUCCUACAUUUGAGUGGAGGAAGAUGUACUUGUCUACGUUGGGUGAUGAUUAGUGCCAUGAAGAACAAAACGGAUACAGUGAGUAAUGUGGACAGGGCUAUCUUAGCUAUCACUCUAAUAAGGUGAUAUCUGAGGAGAGAUCUGAAUGAAGUGAGGAUACAAUGGAUAUCCAAGGAAAAGAGCAUUCCAGCAAAGGAAAAAACACAUGCAGAGACCCUGAAGGAGAAGCAGGGUCACUUUGUCAAAGGGACAGCAAGGAAGCCAAUGACCGGGUGAAAUGAGUGAAGAGAGCGUUCAGAGAGGACAGCCAAAAGCUCUGUGGGCCACGGCAGGACUUUGUCCCUUGCUGAGCAAGAUGGGAAGCCACUGAAUGUUUGCGGGCAGGGUAGUGACAUGCUGUGACUUAUGUUUAAAAGGAUUACUCCUUCAUAGCGAUGAAGAAAAGCUCUAUAACAAAAGUUCCGUUGUGGUGGUUAUACAGCAUUGUGAAUGUACUUAAUGCCAAUGAAUUGUGUACUUUAAAAUGGUAAAUUUUAUGUUAUAUAUGUUUUACCACAAUAAAAAUAAUUUUUUUAGAGGAUCA